RNAcentral lists this ribosomal RNA (485 nucleotides) under uncultured bacterium. RNAcentral's name for it is "SSU rRNA". It matches the Rfam family "Bacterial small subunit ribosomal RNA", at positions 26 to 518 of the family's 1533-position model. The record is from RNAcentral.
AGAGCGAACGCUGGCGGCGUGCUUAACACAUGCAAGUCGAACGAGGUCUGUAGCAAUACAGAUACUCGUGGCGAACGGGUGCGUAACACGUGGAUAACCUUCCUUCAGGUGGGGAAUAACCCAGUGAAAAUUGGGCUAAUACCGCAUAACAUGACGAGGGCACAUGCUUUUGUCUUCAAAGGCGCAAGUCGCCAGAAGAGGGAUCCGCGGCCGAUUAGCUAGUUGGUGAGGUAAUGGCUCACCAAGGCUUUGAUCGGUAUCCGGACUGAGAGGUUGGCCGGACACACUGGAACUGAGACACGGUCCAGACUCCUACGGGAGGCAGCAGUGGGGAAUCUUGCACAAUGGACGAAAGUCUGAUGCAGCAACGCCGCGUGGGGAUGAAGCUUUUCGGAGUGUAAACCCCUUUCGACUCGGACGAAUGCCCGCAAGGGCUUGACGGUACGGGUAUAAGAAGCCCCGGCUAACUACGUGCCAGCAGCCGC